UUGAGGAGGGGAGCGAGCAGUGCUUUGGGGGAGGGGUCGCGUAGGUGCCUCACCCGACUCUGCCGCGGCGCAAUUGCUGCUCCCUGCCGGGUUUCAUUCCUGGCGAGGGGUGCAGAAUCAUGUACAUAAAGCAGGUGAUUAUCCAGGGUUUUCGAAGUUACAGAGAUCAAACAAUUGUAGAGCCCUUCAGUUCAAAACAUAAUGUGAUUGUGGGCAGAAAUGGAUCUGGGAAAAGUAACUUUUUUUAUGCAAUUCAGUUUGUUCUCAGUGAUGAGUUUAGUCAUCUUCGUCCAGAACAGCGGUUGGCCUUAUUGCAUGAAGGUACUGGUCCUCGUGUUAUUUCUGCUUUUGCGGAGAUUAUUUUUGAUAAUUCAGACAACCGGUUACCAAUUGAUAAAGAGGAAGUUUCACUUCGAAGAGUUAUUGGUGCCAAAAAAGAUCAGUAUUUCUUAGACAAGAAGAUGGUCACGAAAAAUGAUGUGAUGAACCUUCUUGAAAGUGCUGGGUUUUCCCAAAGCAAUCCUUACUAUAUUGUUAAACAAGGAAAGAUCAACCAGAUGGCGACAGCGCCAGAUUCUCAGAGAUUAAAGCUAUUAAGAGAAGAAGCUGGUACUAGAGUGUAUGAUGAACGAAAGGAAGAAAGCAUCUCUUUAAUGAAAGAAACAGAGGGCAAACGGGAAAAAAUCAAUGAGUUGUUAAAAUACAUUGAAGAGAGAUUACAUACUUUAGAGGAAGAAAAGGAAGAACUAGCUCAGUAUCAGAAGCGGGAUAAAAUGAAAUGAGCCCUGGAAUAUACCAUUUACAAUCAGGAACUUAACGAGACUCAUGCUAAACUUGAUGAGCUUUCUGCUAAGCGAGAGACUAGUGGAGAAAAAUCCAGACAAUUAAGAGAUGCCCAACAGGAUGCAAGAGAUAAAAUGGAGGAUAUUGAACGCCAAGUCAGAGAAUUGAAAACAAAAAUUUCAGCUAUGAAAGAAGAAAAAGAACAGCUUAGUGCUGAAAGACAAGAACAAAUUAAGCAGAGAUCUAAGUUGGAGCUUAAAGCCAAGGAUUUACAAGAUGAACUGGCAGGCAAUAGUGAACAGAGGAAACGCUUAUUAAAGAGGCAGAAGCUGCUUGAAAAAAAAUAGAAGAAAAGCAGAAAGAACUGGCAGAAACAGAACCUAAAUUCAACAGUGUAAGAGAGAAAGAAGAACGAGGAAUUCCUAGAUUGGCUCAAGCUACCCAGGAAAGAAUGGUCUUUACACAAAACAGGGUCGAGGAAGCCAGUUUACAUCAAAAGAAGAAAGGGAUAAAUGGAUUAAAAAGGAACUAAAGUCUUUAGAUCAGGCUAUUAAUGACAAGAAAAGACAGAUUGCUGCUAUUCAUAAGGAUUUGGAAGAUAGUGAAGCAAAUAAAGAGAAAAAUCUGGAGCAGUAUAAUAAACUGGACCAGGAUCUUAAUGAAGUCAAAGCUCGAGUGGAAGAACUGGACAGAAAAUAUUAUGAAGUAAAAAAUAAGAAAGAUGAAUUACAAAGUGAGAGAAAUUACUUGUGGAGAGAAGAGAAUGCAGAACAGCAAGCACUUGCUGCUAAAAGAAGAUCUUGAAAAGAAGCAACAACUUCUUAGAGCGGCAACGGGAAAGGCCAUUUUAAAUGGAAUAGACAGCAUAAACAAAGUGCUAGACCACUUUCGUUGAAAAGGAAUAAACCAGCAUGUUCAAAAUGGCUAUCAUGGCAUUGUGAUGAAUAACUUUGAAUGUGAACCAGCUUUCUACACAUGCGUGGAAGUCACUGCUGGAAACAGGUUAUUUUAUCACAUUGUUGAUUCAGAUGAAGUCAGCACAAAGAUUUUAAUGGAGUUUAAUAAAAUGAAUCUUCCUGGAGAGGUUACUUUUCUACCUCUUAACAAGUUAGAUGUCAGGGAUACUGCCUAUCCUGAAACCAAUGAUGCCAUUCCUAUGAUCAGUAAACUGAGGUACAAUCCCAGAUUUGACCAAGCUUUCAAACAUGUGUUUGGAAAGACACUUAUUUGUCGUAGCAUGGAAGUUUCAACCCAGCUGGCCCGUGCUUUCACUAUGGACUGCAUUACUUUGGAAGGUGACCAGGUCAGUCAUCGGGGUGCUCUAACUGGAGGUUAUUAUGACACAAGGAAGUCUCGACUUGAAUUGCAAAAAGAUGUUAGAAAAGCAGAAGAAGAACUAGGUGAGCUUGAAGCAAAGCUCAAUGAAAACCUGCGCAGAAAUAUUGAAAGGAUUAAUAAUGAAAUCAAUCAGUUGAUGAACCAAAUGCAGCAGAUUGAGACCCAGCAAAGGAAAUUUAAAGCCUCUAGAUAUAGCAUAUUGUCAGAAAUGAAGACGCUAAAAGAGAAGAGGCAGCAGUCAGAGAAAACCUUCAUGCCUAAGCAACGUAGCUUACAGAGUUUGGAGGCAAGCUUGCACGCUAUGGAGUCUACCAGAGAGUCAUUGAAAGCAGAACUGGGAACUGAUUUGCUUUCUCAACUGAGUCUGGAAGAUCAGAAGAGAGUAGAUGCACUGAAUGAUGAGAUUCGUCAGCUUCAGCAGGAAAACAGACAGUUACUAAAUGAAAGAAUUAAAUUAGAAGGUAUUAUUACUCGAGUAGAGACUUAUCUCAAUGAGAAUCUGAGAAAACACUUGGACCAAGUAGAACAGGAAAUUAAUGAGCUGAGAGAGACAGAAGGGGGUACUGUUCUCACUGCCACAACAUCAGAACUUGAAGCCAUCAAUAAAAGAGUGAAAGACACUAUGGCACGAUCAGAAGAUUUGGACAAUUCCAUUGAUAAAACAGAAGCUGGAAUUAAGGAACUUCAAAAGAGUAUGGAGCACUGGAAAAAUAUGGAAAAAGAACAUAUGGAUGCUAUAAAUCAUGAUACGAAAGAACUGGAAAAGAUGACAAAUCGGUAAGGCAUGCUAUUGAAGAAGAAAGAAGAGUGUAUGAAGAAAAUUUGAGAACUCGGAUCACUACCCCAGGAAGCAUUUGAAAAGUACCAGAUGCUAAGCCUCAAACAGUUGUUUCCAAAACCUGAGCAGUGCAACACUGAAUUAAAGAAGUAUAGUCAUGUUAAAAAAAAAAGGCUUUGGAUCAGUUUGUAAAUUUCUCUGAGCAGAAAGAAAAGUUAAUAAAGCGACAAGAAGAGUUAGAUAGAGGUUACAAAUUAAUCAUGGAGCUGAUGAAUGUACUUGAACUUCGGAAAUAUGAAGCUAUUCAGUUAACUUUCAAACAGGUAUCCAAGAACUUCAGUGAAGUAUUCCAGAAGUUAGUACCUGGUGGCAAAGCCACCUUGGUGAUUAAGAAAGGAGAUGUGGAGGGCAGUCAGUCUCAAGAUGAAGGAGAAGGGAGUGGUGAGAGUGAGAGGGGUUCUGGCUCACAAAGCAGUGUCCCGUCAGUUGACCAGUUUACUGGAGUUGGAAUUAGGAUGUCAUUUACAGGAAAACAAGGUGAAAUGAGAGAAAUGCAACAGCUUUCAGGUGGACAGAAAUCCUUGGUAGCCCUUGCUCUGAUUUUUGCCAUUCAGAAAUGUGACCCCGCUCCUUUUUACUUGUUUGAUGAGGUUGACCAGGCUCUGGAUGCUCAGCACAGAAAGGCUGUGUCAGAUAUGAUUAUGGAACUUGCUGUACAUGCUCAGUUUAUUACAGCUACUUUUAGGCCUGAACUGCUGGAGUCAGCUGACAAAUUCUAUGGUGUAAAGUUCAGAAACAAGGUUAGCCAUAUUGAUGUGAUCACAGCAGAGAUGGCCAAAGACUUCGUAGAAGAUGAUACCACACAUGGUUAAUUGGAAAAUACUACCUACUGGUUUGGGAGAUGUGUAUAGAUGUGUAUAGUUACCCACGAACUGUAAAUUUAAACCUAAAUAUUUGACCAUUAUUAGUAGUUUUCAGAUUUAAAGCAUCAUAGUCCUUUUAUAUUUGUCUUUGUAUUUUAUAAGAUACGCUGUAAUGUUUCUACCUAUAGUUUAAGAAUUUUAUUUCCUGUACAACUUUUUGUAAAAUGUCCUGCUCCUAUUUUAAAUUUUUUGAAACAUGCUAAAUAUUCUUUCCUAGUUAUUUUAUCACUUAUACUGCCUUUUUUAAAUAGCUUCAAUUAAAUAAUCGGUAUUAUGACUAAAAAAAGA
This is a non-coding RNA of Saimiri boliviensis boliviensis (Bolivian squirrel monkey), 4110 nucleotides long. The record is from RefSeq and is a predicted model, not a curated record. Lineage: Eukaryota; Metazoa; Chordata; Mammalia; Primates; Cebidae.